This 482-nucleotide ribosomal RNA is filed under the name uncultured Actinomycetales bacterium. Its description in RNAcentral is "bacterial SSU rRNA". It matches the Rfam family "Bacterial small subunit ribosomal RNA", at positions 28 to 521 of the family's 1533-position model. The record is from RNAcentral. Lineage: Bacteria; Bacillati; Actinomycetota; Actinomycetes; Actinomycetales.
GACGAACGCUGGCGGCGUGCUUAACACAUGCAAGUCGAACGGAAAGGCCCUGCUUUUGUGGGGUGCUCGAGUGGCGAACGGGUGAGUAACACGUGAGUAACCUGCCCUUGACUUUGGGAUAACUUCAGGAAACUGGGGCUAAUACCGGAUAGGAGCUCCUGCUGCAUGGUGGGGGUUGGAAAGUUUCGGCGGUUGGGGAUGGACUCGCGGCUUAUCAGCUUGUUGGUGGGGUAGUGGCUUACCAAGGCUUUGACGGGUAGCUGGCCUGAGAGGGUGACCGGCCACAUUGGGACUGAGAUACGGCCCAGACUCCUACGGGAGGCAGCAGUGGGGAAUAUUGCACAAUGGGCGGAAGCCUGAUGCAGCAACGCCGCGUGCGGGAUGACGGCCUUCGGGUUGUAAACCGCUUUCGCCUGUGACGAAGCGUGAGUGACGGUAAUGGGUAAAGAAGCACCGGCUAACUACGUGCCAGCAGCCGCGGU